AGAAGAUUUUGCGUAGCCUCACCAAGAGAAGAAGUUGGAAAGAAAAAAAAAGAAGUUGGCAAGGCAUCCAGAGGAGACCCCGCCAGCACCUGGGUUCUCUGCCAGGGGAGAGAGGCCCUAGAAACAAGAACCAAUCCAGCAGCAACAAGCAUCUCUGGCAGUCUAUCAUUUCCCUUCAACUGAAAUCAGAUCUUCUUAAAGAAAUGCUUGGCUCUCAGACUGGGAACGGAAAUGUACAAGAUGUGCUUCGAUAUCUGGUCAAAUCAGAAACUCAAAAAGCUAUCAAAGUCUCUUUGGACUGUGUCAGAAAGAGGUGAAAAGACUCCCACUUGCCAAAGACGGGACAAUUUGAGCAUUCAUAAGACUAAUCACUAUAAUGGACUAUAGUGAACUGAAGUACAUCAAAUAUGUUUCAAUCCAUGAUUUCAUAAUGGUAUCUUAAAUAAUUGGUCACUUGUGAAGGACUCUACGUAACCAACUCAACAACUUGAAAACUGCCUCCCCUCCUACCAGCACAGAGGAGAGAACCAGGAGAGUGGAGGAUUCAGCCACCCAGAAUGAUGUGCAGGCGGGGCGUGGUAUUUCACGCCUAUAAUCCCAGCACUUUGGGAGGCCAAGGUGGGUAGAUCACUUGAGGUCAGGAGUUCAAGACCAGCCUGGUCAACAUGGUAAAACUCCGUCUCUACUAAAAAUACAAAAACUAGCCAGGCGUGGUGGCACGUGCCUGUAGUCCCAGCUACUUGGGAGGCUGAGGCAGGAAAAUCACUAGAACCAGGAAGGCAGAAGUUGCAGUGAGCUGAGAUAG
Molecule: long non-coding RNA, 805 nt
Filed under: Homo sapiens (human)
Lineage: Eukaryota; Metazoa; Chordata; Mammalia; Primates; Hominidae
Description: non-protein coding lnc-IER3-15:13
Source: RNAcentral